AUAUUUACCUGGACGUGGUUGGUGGGUGAUCAGGAAGGCCCAUGGCCUAAGUUAGUGACUUCCAUUGCACUUGGGAGGUGCACUAGCUUAGCAUCUCCUCCAGUAGGAGACUGCACGUCAUAAUUUGUGAUCGAGGGGGUACGCGUUUGCGCGGCCCCUG
Small nuclear RNA from Magnolia sinica, 160 nucleotides. RefSeq annotates it as U1 spliceosomal RNA. The transcript has a single exon. The record is from RefSeq and is a predicted model, not a curated record. NCBI's taxonomy places the organism in Eukaryota, Viridiplantae, Streptophyta, Magnoliopsida, Magnoliales, Magnoliaceae.